CGAAAACUGGGCUCGUUACUUCCUACAUUUUGUCAUGAAGUACGACGUUGUCCCCAGAAUGAUGCUUGCUCCUCUUUCAUCAAUUCAAGAAUUGCUUCAAGUAAUCUCUCCCUUCAUCAAUCCAAAGUCCCAGUAUUAUCAGCACGAGGCUGUUGCACGAUCAAGUCAUGCAUCGAAUUUCUUUAUGACUGUAAUGAGGAGUGCAUCCUCUGUUGCAAGCUAUGAUGCAUGUAAUCUGAAGGGAUGCACAAACUUACUGUUGGAAACUGUUUCCAACAUUGUUCAACUUAGCCCUUACAGACCCUUUGGAACUUACAUCUUCUGCACUGGGAAUAGGAAACUGGUUGUCGUUGAGAACCCUGAUGCUGUUCUGCAGUUACUGUUCUAUUCCUCUCAAUUGAGUUCCGAAGCAGAAGCUGCAGUAGUCGUUCCUAGAAGCUUAAACGAUCACCUGUCAUAUAAAAACGAAAUGCAAGAUAGCUUAGAGAUGCAAGAUGUUCUCCAUCUCAACAAUCUUACUGAUAUUCCUUUAUCUUCAAAUGUUGAUCCAAGUAUGAAUUCAGCACUGAAUGACCUUGGCCUGAGUACAAGAGCAAGGCUGUGUCUUCGUGCAGCAGGAGAGUGGGAGAAGCAGAAGAAGAAGAACGAGGAAAAGAUUGAACAAAAUAAGAGAAGCAUCAGGGACGCAUUAAGCAAGAUACAGGAGUAUCAGACCAAGUGUGAUAUCCGUAAAGUUGGGUAUUAUGAUGCAUUCAAGAUUCAAAACACCGAUGAUGACUUCAAUGCUAAUGUGAGAAGGCUUGAGCUAGCAGGUAUAUGGGAUGAGAUCAUUGAAAUGUUGAAAAGGUAUGAGCUCCCAGAUAGCUUCGAGGGACGAAGAGACUGGAUAGAACUAGGGACACAGUUUCGCAGGCAAGUUGAGCCCUUGGAUAUUGCAAACUAUUACAGGCACUUGAAGAAUGAAGAUACUGGACCUUACUUGAUCAGGGCUAGGCCUAAGCGUUAUCGGUUCACACAGAGAUGGUUAGAGCAUUUUGAUAGAGUGCAAGCUGGUGCACGUUCCGAGUCUUGUUUCUGGGCAGAAGUUGAGGAACUAAGAAACAAGCCAUUUGCACAAGUGCAAGACAGGGUUUUGAGUUUAGAAACAGCUGCAAAUGGCUGGAUCCAGAGUAGCCUUCUUGGCGAUGAUAUUUUCUUCCCUGAAUCUACCUAUACCAAGUGGUGGAAAACACUCCCACCUCAGCACAAACAGGCAUCUUGGGUGUCAAGGAAAAUAACUCCUUAGCGCCUUGCGCCCUAAUAUCUUGAUAAAGAUGGUAUCCCAGCCAACUCACAGACACCUAUAACAUUCCACCACAUAUGUUGCAAUGCCCCUAAUAAGAGCAGCCAGAUGGUAUUUGCUUCAGAUAAUAAGAAAAAG
This 1420-nucleotide unclassified non-coding RNA is filed under the name Hevea brasiliensis (rubber tree). Lineage: Eukaryota; Viridiplantae; Streptophyta; Magnoliopsida; Malpighiales; Euphorbiaceae. The record is from RNAcentral.